UACGGAGGGUGCAAGCGUUAUCCGGAUUCACUGGGUUUAAAGGGAGCGCAGGCGGACUUGUAAGUCAGUGGUGAAAUACCUGAGCUUAACUCGGGAACUGCCAUUGAUACUAUAGGUCUUGAAUGUUGUUGAGGUUUGCGGAAUGGGUCAUGUAGCGGUGAAAUGCAUAGAUAUGACCCGGAACACCUAUUGCGAAGGUAGCAGGCUAAACAAAUAUUGACGCUGAGGCUCGAAAGCGUGGGGAUCAAACAGG
This 253-nucleotide ribosomal RNA is filed under the name uncultured bacterium. Its description in RNAcentral is "partial 16S ribosomal RNA". It matches the Rfam family "Bacterial small subunit ribosomal RNA", at positions 524 to 776 of the family's 1533-position model. The record is from RNAcentral.